UACGUAGGGUGCGAGCGUUGUCCGGAAUCAUUGGGCGUAAAGGGCUCGUAGGCGGUCCAUCGCGUCGGGAGUGAAACGCUGGGGCUUAACCCCAGUCCUGCUUUCGAUACGGGUGGACUAGAGGUAGGCAGGGGAGAAUGGAAUUCCUGGUGUAGCGGUGAAAUGCGCAGAUAUCAGGAGGAACACCGGUGGCGAAGGCGGCACUCUGGGCCGGUACUGACGCUGAGGAGCGAAAGCGUGGGGAGCGAACAGG
RNAcentral lists this ribosomal RNA (253 nucleotides) under uncultured bacterium. RNAcentral's name for it is "partial 16S ribosomal RNA". It matches the Rfam family "Bacterial small subunit ribosomal RNA", at positions 524 to 776 of the family's 1533-position model. The record is from RNAcentral.